RNAcentral lists this transfer RNA (75 nucleotides) under Bacillota bacterium. RNAcentral's name for it is "Firmicutes bacterium (anaerobic digester metagenome) tRNA-Thr". It matches the Rfam family "tRNA". From Rfam's summary of the family: Transfer RNA (tRNA) molecules are approximately 80 nucleotides in length. Their secondary structure includes four short double-helical elements and three loops (D, anti-codon, and T loops). Lineage: Bacteria; Bacillati; Bacillota. The record is from RNAcentral.
GCCGGCGUGGCUCAAUGGAAGAGCGGCGCACUCGUAAUGCGCAGGUUGUGGGUUCGAUUCCCACCGCCGGCUCCA